CGGUCCGGGAUGCCUUCUGCCGGCUGCACCGAGGCCGCGCGCUCCCGGCGGCGCGGCCCAAACUUUGCCCACCGCCUUCUCUGCGCUCGCUGCGUUUCGUUGCCUGCUGCGUCUUUGGGGAUUCUCUGCUCACCCGGACCUCUCAGAGCCACCUAGUCAGCCCGGCUCUGUGCGCCACCUCUCCUAACCUGGUCCUCGAACGCCGGUGCUUCCACCUUUCCGCUGCGCCCUGCCCUCUCCUCGUCCCCGCCACUUUUUGCUAGUUUUCUGAAGCCCUCCGCGCAAACUCUGCCGAGUCUACCAAACUCUCCAGACCCUGCCCGGGGCGACAGUGGGCGGCACAGUGGACCGGACAGUGGGUAGAUUCCUACUUCCAUGUUAACUUCUCCAAAGCCACUUGGGUGUUUCCGUGCCUCAGGGAAAAACGGGAGAAAAAGUCUUUUUACUAAAAGGUUCCAAUUCAGUCUGGACGCUAAGAUUGUGACCGCUGGAGGAUGCCUGCGCUCAGAUUUGCACAGCUCUGCAUAGGAAGUCGUCUUCCAGCGCCUCAGCCCGCCCUCUUGCAGCUCCUUCCACUCCUCCGCACAUUGGCCCCUCAGGCCACUCAGUCCCAGCUGACUGGGGUCAAUUGGGUGUGUACAGACCAAACCUCCAGAAAAUUGUUCCCGGUUUCCUAAUCUAGAACUGGCUUUUCUCUGUGACUUUUAACAAGAGACUGAACCUGGACACUGAUGGGCACUUGUUUCUUUUUUUUUUUUUGGUACCAGAGAUUGAACUUGGCCUUGCGCUUGCAAGGCAGGCCACCGAACCGCUGAGCUAAAUCCCCAUCCACUUGUUUCUUUAUCUCAGCCUCCUAGAACCCUGAAAUUCAUCUGCUGAGAAUAUGUCCUUCUCUUUCCGGAAUUUUUUUUUUAAUGGGAUGAGAUUCAGGCAGUGGCUAUGAUUUCUACCUCCCUACCUCUCUGUCUCCCUUUUUUUGUUGUUGUUAGGAAGACCUGGGGCUGGGGAUGUAGCUUGGUAGUACAGCAUACUGGGUUUGAUUGCCAGCAAUAAAAUAAAAAUACAGAAG
RNAcentral lists this long non-coding RNA (1069 nucleotides) under Fukomys damarensis (Damara mole-rat). Its description in RNAcentral is "lncRNA (ENSFDAG00000032385.1)". Lineage: Eukaryota; Metazoa; Chordata; Mammalia; Rodentia; Bathyergidae. The record is from RNAcentral.